Long non-coding RNA from Dryobates pubescens (Downy woodpecker), 644 nucleotides. RefSeq lists it as uncharacterized. The transcript has 3 exons. Lineage: Eukaryota; Metazoa; Chordata; Aves; Piciformes; Picidae. The record is from RefSeq and is a predicted model, not a curated record.
AGAGAUUGUGUGCUGGAGACAAAGGGACUUCUGGGUAGGAAGUUUCUAUGCAGCAUAAAUAGCAUUUUGGAAACCUGACUCUUGCCCAGUUGUAAGAACAGGCAAGGUCUCCACAUUUUUAAAUGCUUGCUGCAUUUCUCAUGACUGUAGAGGGGGUGGGAGGGAUUGCCUCUGACUUCAGCAGGAAGAGUUGGAAAUUAGCCAUGGGUUAGAGACUUGAGGAGUUAUAGUUUGAAGUGUUUCAUCUAUUUCCAUAGAAUCACUUGCUUAUUACAAUGUUUUGUCUAGUGCAGUGCUCCAGGAAGUGAGGUUACUGUCCUGUGACAUCUGAAAGGAAGGACUGAGGACAUGUCUCUUCAUGCUGUUCCUUGCUGAAGUGGAGAAAUGCUUCAGAGCUGUGUCAGAUGCUUUCAGCAUGCAGCCACGUGAACAAGCCAAUCUCAGGGGCCAGUCCAGCUCCAGGUUCACAGAAAGCUGUCUCCCACCACAGUGUGAAGCAGCAGCUGAAGGACUCUCCUCACCCACUGCAACACCUUGGCUUACCUCUCUCUGCCUGGAGAAAAGGAUUGUUUGUGUGUGGGUGCCUAGAUCAAAGCAAGGGAUGUUGGGAGCUGCAGGUCCCAGUCUUUGCUCUGUUGGCUCUU